Molecule: long non-coding RNA, 1048 nt
Organism: Cynoglossus semilaevis (tongue sole)
Lineage: Eukaryota; Metazoa; Chordata; Actinopteri; Pleuronectiformes; Cynoglossidae
Exons: 2
Source: RefSeq, a predicted model, not a curated record
UGAGAUGACCCAAAUGCAGGCUCAGACAACGUAAGGAGAAACACAAGGAUUUAUUUUUCAAGCGCACUUCCAAAGUAAUCACAAGAAUUAUAGUCAAAUCGAAAUCAGUGUUCGUCUCCACUGCAGCAGAACAGACGAUCUGACGACUAGUGGGAGGAAUGCCAGGGCUCUUAUGCUGUCGGACUGAUAGGCUGAUUGGUGGCAGGUGCUGAGGAACGGCAGGUGUGCCACGGCGAUUAGUCCGGCAGAGUCAGAGAGAUGUGCCACGCCCCCUACACAGAGAGAGAGAGUACACAACACAAGAAAACACAGGAAAACACAGGAAAUGACAGUCCCGACUGUCAUCGUGACAAUAUUACUGAUCUGCAAUAACAGCCAGGCUAGGUCUGAUCCAUACAGAGCCACAUGUGGCUUAGGAACCACAGGUUUCCAACAAGGCAAAGCAUUUAGCGUGCUGCUCAGCUUUGCUAACCGCAACAAAACGACGUCGGAUUUCCAACAUUAUCUCACUGACAUACUACUGACUUUCAAAAGAUGCCAGAGGUAGAGGUAAAAAUUAGAAACUGGAUAAAAAUGGGGCUAACGCAAGCUUCGGAAUACAGUACUGGAUCAAUUUCUGGAUCUUCUUAAGAAAGAGUGAAAGAACGUACAGAUUGAAGAACAAAGAAAACAGAACAAAACAUAUAUGACAUAUGUAACAACCGAUAUAACAAAACCUUUUGAUGACCUUUAAAAUGAUAUAGUGUGAUGAUAUGGUAAAACUUUUUGAUAACUUCAAAAUGAUCUUCUGACCUUAAACACUUCCACUUUGAUUAUUUCCACUUAACACAUGACCUUCAGUACUAACAUCCACAUCACCACUUCAAUCUAACCCAUUCAACCAGCAUUCAAUCCACUUCCGUAACCUUUCAAUAACUCUAACCCAUUCAACACUGAAAUAUCACAUUUUCAUGAAUACAUAAUAUAAAAUAAAUUAUUACAGUGUAAUAAUAUGACAAAACAAGGUAAGAAAACUGUUAUAAAGCAUUGUUAAUGUAUAUAAAUGAAU